Molecule: RNA transcript, 920 nt
Organism: Sapajus apella (tufted capuchin)
Lineage: Eukaryota; Metazoa; Chordata; Mammalia; Primates; Cebidae
Gene name: phosphatidylinositol-glycan biosynthesis class X protein pseudogene
Exons: 1
Source: RefSeq, a predicted model, not a curated record
UAUGAGACAUUUUAAAAAUAAACCAACCAUAAUUAAAAGAGUAUUGUGCUUCCUGCGUCCGCAGCUGGCUCCAGUCCUGGCGGCUUGGGUGGCGGCGGCUUCGGGCGGUCGCCUGGCUGCUCUUCGGGGCGGCGACCUGGCUCACGCGCGGCCCGCCCCAGCCUUCACCGCCGCAACCUCUGACGCCGGCAUAAGGGCCACGUGUUCUGAAAUUACUUUGAGACAAGAAGUUUUGAAAGAUGGUUUCCACAGAGACCUUUUAAUAAAAGUGAAGUUUGGAGAAGGCAUUGAGGACUUACAGAAGUACUGACUCUUAAUUAAACAGUACAUUCCUACAGGACUUUUUGUGGAUCCAUAUGAGUUGGCUUCAUUAUGAGAGAGAAACUUAACAGAGACAAUGAUGGUUUUGGAAAUUUUUGAUAUAGAGGCCCCUAACUAUUUGUCCAAGGAAUCUGAAGUUCUCAUUUAUGCCAGACAAGAUUCACAGUGCAUUGAUUGUUUUCAAGUCUUUUUGCCUGUGUACUACCGCUAUCAUCGGCCACAUAGUAAAGAUGGAGAAACCUUUACUGAGCCAGAUUUGUUGAUGUAUUGUGACCAAGUGUUCCCGAUUUUGAAAUGUUGGGCCCACUCAGAAGUGGCAGCUCCUUGUGCUUUGGAGAAUGAGGAUAUCUGCCCGUGGAACAAGAUGAAGUAUAAAUAAGUAUAUAAGAAUGUGACUCUGCAGGUUCCACUGGGACUGACUAUACAUACCUCUUUAGUAUGUUCUGUUGACUCUGCUCAUUACAAUCCUGUGCUCUACUUUGAUCCUUGUAACAGUUUUCAAAUAUGGCCAUUUUUCCCUAUAAGUUUUAUGUAGUUAAAUACUUCCUAGAAACCUAAAUAAGAUCUAUUAAAUUCUGAUGAGAGGUGUUCUUCUAGAA